GGAUUAGAUACCCCGGUAGUCCAUGCCGUAAACGUUGGGAACUAGAUGUGGGGACCAUUCCACGGUCUCCGUGUCGCAGCUAACGCAUUAAGUUCCCCGCCUGGGGAGUACGGCCGCAAGGCUAAAACUCAAAGGAAUUGACGGGGGCCCGCACAAGCGGCGGAGCAUGCGGAUUAAUUCGAUGCAACGCGAAGAACCUUACCAAGACUUGACAUAUACGAGAACGGGCCAGAAAUGGUCAACUCUUUGGACACUCGUAAACAGGUGGUGCAUGGUUG
RNAcentral lists this ribosomal RNA (278 nucleotides) under uncultured bacterium. RNAcentral's name for it is "partial 16S ribosomal RNA". It matches the Rfam family "Bacterial small subunit ribosomal RNA", at positions 775 to 1051 of the family's 1533-position model. The record is from RNAcentral.